Molecule: long non-coding RNA, 230 nt
Filed under: Medicago truncatula (barrel medic)
Lineage: Eukaryota; Viridiplantae; Streptophyta; Magnoliopsida; Fabales; Fabaceae
Description: long non-coding RNA (MTRU_LNC002527)
Source: RNAcentral
UUCAUUUCAACUUUUUCUAUCUAUUGAAACGGUCCUCAACAGCUCUAAAAAUAUCGUGCUUCAAAUUUGAAUUACUGGAUGCCGGAGACUGGGGGGAGCUUUUUGGUAUUCGUUGCCUUUAUGUGCUCUGAUUGGUUACUUUUUGGGUACAUGCCCCCGAGGCCCAAUGAACGAAGGAUGCAAAUUUUAAAUAAUUUAUUUUACUCUGUUCGAAUUAUAUAAUUUAAAAC